This 200-nucleotide ribosomal RNA is filed under the name uncultured bacterium. RNAcentral describes it as "partial 16S ribosomal RNA". It matches the Rfam family "Bacterial small subunit ribosomal RNA", at positions 207 to 407 of the family's 1533-position model. The record is from RNAcentral.
GAGUAAUCCGCUAUGAGAUGGACCCGCGGCGCAUUAGCUAGUUGGUGAGGUAACGGCUCACCAAGGCCACGAUGCGUAGCCGACCUGAGAGGGUGAUCGGCCACAUUGGGACUGAGACACGGCCCAGACUCCUACGGGAGGCAGCAGUGGGGAAUAUUGCACAAUGGGCGAAAGCCUGAUGCAGCAACGCCGCGUGAGUG